This 72-nucleotide transfer RNA is filed under the name Ipomoea nil (Japanese morning glory). It matches the Rfam family "tRNA". Rfam says of the family: Transfer RNA (tRNA) molecules are approximately 80 nucleotides in length. Their secondary structure includes four short double-helical elements and three loops (D, anti-codon, and T loops). Lineage: Eukaryota; Viridiplantae; Streptophyta; Magnoliopsida; Solanales; Convolvulaceae. The record is from Rfam by way of RNAcentral.
GUUUUUGUAGUAUAGUGGUGAGUAUCCCCGCUUGUCACGCGGGAGACCUAAGUUCGAUCCCUGGCAACGGUG